GAUGAACGCUAGCGGCAGGCUUAAUACAUGCAAGUCGAGGGGCAUCAAGGUACACGAAAGUGUAUUGUUGGCGACCGGCGGACGGGUGAGUAAUAGGUAGGUAACCUACCUCAUACUGAGGCAUAGCUGGGAGAAAUUCCAGGUAAUUCCUCAUGAGGUUAUAUGACACAUGUGAUAUAAUCAAAGGUAUCGCAAGGUACUGGUAUGAGAUGGGCUUACUGACCAUUAGCUAGUUGGUGAGAUAAGAGCUCACCAAGGCGAAGAUGGUUAGGGGUUUUGAGAGAGAGAUCCCCCACAUUGGAACUGAGAUACGGUCCAGACUCCUACGGGAGGCAGCAGUAGGGAAUAUUGGGCAAUGGGCGGAAGCCUGACCCAGCCAUGCCGCGUGAAGGAAGACGGCCUUAUGGGGUUGUAAACUUCUUUACUAUGCGACUAACUAGAUUUACGAGAUAAUUCUAUAGAAUGUAGCAUAGCAAAAGCACCGGCUAA
Molecule: ribosomal RNA, 489 nt
Filed under: uncultured bacterium
Lineage: Bacteria
Description: bacterial SSU rRNA
Rfam family: Bacterial small subunit ribosomal RNA
Source: RNAcentral